Molecule: long non-coding RNA, 853 nt
Filed under: Helianthus annuus (common sunflower)
Lineage: Eukaryota; Viridiplantae; Streptophyta; Magnoliopsida; Asterales; Asteraceae
Description: sRNA HanXRQr2_Chr08g0331011
Source: RNAcentral
UGGUUUAGAACAAUAACCAAAUUGAACUUGUGUUCCUACCAUACGUCAAGCAUGGCAACACACAAAUUCAUUAGUAUAGAGACAUUUCAUUAGUAAAAAAAUUAGUGUCAAAAGAAUAAAAAUUGGGAUGCAAAAUAGUAAGAAAUAACUGAAAGCCCAUAUAUACUUGUCUUGAUUAAAUAUACUUGUCUUGAUUAAAUAAGUCGAUUAUUUGUGUUCUGCCAUUAAUAUGGAUGAAGAAGAUGACUGAACUCCAAUGCAUCAACCUUAUUUUACUUUGAACUUGAUUUAACGACGAUGCUUAUUCUUAAAGAAAAAUAUAAAGAUAAAAUUAUUGAUGCAUGGUGUGUAAUAUACAUUGGGACCUGUAUGUGCACAAACUGAAAGUAAUCCGAAGAAAAACACUUACUCGGAACUUAGUACAGUAUGGCAAUUAAGCAACACAUCAAGGGCAAAUUAAACUGAAGUACCAAUGUUUGCGGUAUACCUUGUUCCACAUUUUCAAAAUGCAAUGUUUAUUCUAUUUCUUAAAAAAAAAACAAAAAAAAAACAUGGUACUAAUAAAUGAAACUGCGUCAAAAUUCAUACCUAACAAAAAGAAUAUUUUUUAAAUAUACAAAAUUACCUUUGGCAUGGAAUCAAUGUAGGUCUCUGGGACCUCCAUUUCUCAAUGAACUUGCGCAUUUCUGGUCAUGGAAGCUUUAAGAGCUUGGUUGUAAAUAUUCUUUUGAUGUUCAUACCAUUUUCUUGAUUCAUCUGAAAGUCCUCCUGGAGGAACCUUUACCCGAGGUAUCCACCAUCUUUUUGUGAUUCGUCUGCAUUUUAGGUACAUACCAGAAUUCUUUUGAUCUUU